CCCGGCCUCGUACACACCGCCCGUCGACACCACGUAAAGCCCGCUACAACAGGAAGUCCGGUCGAACUUUUAACCCGGCGAAGGAAAUACGCCGACCGAAGUUGUGUUGGUGAUUGGGGUG
Molecule: ribosomal RNA, 121 nt
Filed under: uncultured bacterium
Lineage: Bacteria
Description: partial 16S ribosomal RNA
Source: RNAcentral